CUUGACCGAGCCGAGCCACAGCGGCCGCUCGGCGUCCCGGCCCUGGCCGUAGGUGUCCAGCAGGGCCUGCGCCUC
This 75-nucleotide antisense RNA is filed under the name Kitasatospora viridis. Its description in RNAcentral is "ASpks TB sRNA". It matches the Rfam family "ASpks TB sRNA". Lineage: Bacteria; Bacillati; Actinomycetota; Actinomycetes; Kitasatosporales; Streptomycetaceae. The record is from Rfam by way of RNAcentral.